Molecule: transfer RNA, 72 nt
Filed under: Desmophyllum pertusum
Lineage: Eukaryota; Metazoa; Cnidaria; Anthozoa; Scleractinia; Caryophylliidae
Description: Lophelia pertusa tRNA
Rfam family: tRNA
About the family: Transfer RNA (tRNA) molecules are approximately 80 nucleotides in length. Their secondary structure includes four short double-helical elements and three loops (D, anti-codon, and T loops).
Source: Rfam by way of RNAcentral
UCUCCUGAAGCUCAGUGGUGGAGCGUCCGACCGGUGUGCGGAAGGUCAUAGGUUCGACUCCGGUUGGGGGAA